AAAGAAUUAGUUAAAUAAUAUAACAUAAAUAUGUCAAUUUUAAAUUAAUAAUAAUUAUUAUUCUUUU
RNAcentral lists this transfer RNA (67 nucleotides) under Rhyacophila nubila. RNAcentral's name for it is "tRNA-Asp". Lineage: Eukaryota; Metazoa; Arthropoda; Insecta; Trichoptera; Rhyacophilidae. The record is from RNAcentral.